Molecule: ribosomal RNA, 497 nt
Filed under: uncultured bacterium
Lineage: Bacteria
Description: partial 16S ribosomal RNA
Rfam family: Bacterial small subunit ribosomal RNA
Source: RNAcentral
GAUGAACGCUGGCGGCGUGCCUAAUACAUGCAAGUCGAGCGAACAGACGAUGAUCUUGCUCCUCUGACGUUAGCGGCGCACGGGUGAGUAACACGUGGAUAAUCUACCUGUAUUACUGGUAUAACUUCGGGACUCCGGAUCUAAUACCGUAUGAUAUAUUGAACCGCAGUGGUCAAUAGUGAAAUUCGGUUGUUCUGGCUCGUAUAGAUGCAUACGAGCCGCAUUAGAUAGUUGGUGAGUUAACGGCUUACGAAGGCUACGAUGCGUAGCCGAACUGAGAGGGUGAUCGGCCACACUGGAACUGAGACACGGUCCAGGCUCCUACGGGAGGCAGCAGUAGGGAAUGUGACGCAAUGGGCGAGAGCCUGACGGAGCAGCGGCGCGUGAGUGAUGAAGGUCUUCGGAUCGUAAAACUCUGUUAUUAGGGAAGAACAAAUGUGUAAGUAACUAUGCACGUCUUGACGGUACCUAAUCAGAAAGCCACGGCUAACUACGUG